RNAcentral lists this ribosomal RNA (450 nucleotides) under uncultured bacterium. RNAcentral's name for it is "partial 16S ribosomal RNA". It matches the Rfam family "Bacterial small subunit ribosomal RNA", at positions 354 to 796 of the family's 1533-position model. The record is from RNAcentral.
GUGGGGAAUUUUGGACAAUGGGCGCAAGCCUGAUCCAGCAAUGCCGCGUGCAGGAAGAAGGCCUUCGGGUUGUAAACUGCUUUUGUACGGAACGAAACGGUCCGGGUUAAUACCCUGGGCUAAUGACGGUACCGUAAGAAUAAGCACCGGCUAACUACGUGCCAGCAGCCGCGGUAAUACGUAGGGUGCAAGCGUUAAUCGGAAUUACUGGGCGUAAAGCGUGCGCAGGCGGUUUUGUAAGACAGGCGUGAAAUCCCCGGGCUCAACCGGGGAAUUGCGCUUGUGACUGCAAGGCUGGAGUGCGGCAGAGGGGGAUGGAAUUCCGCGUGUAGCAGUGAAAUGCGUAGAUAUGCGGAGGAACACCGAUGGCGAAGGCAAUCCCCUGGGCCUGCACUGACGCUCAUGCACGAAAGCGUGGGGAGCAAACAGGAUUAGAUACCCCAGUAGUCC